RNAcentral lists this ribosomal RNA (407 nucleotides) under Neobenedenia melleni. Its description in RNAcentral is "eukaryotic LSU rRNA". It matches the Rfam family "Eukaryotic large subunit ribosomal RNA", at positions 64 to 439 of the family's 3401-position model. Lineage: Eukaryota; Metazoa; Platyhelminthes; Monogenea; Capsalidea; Capsalidae. The record is from RNAcentral.
ACUAACAGGAUUCUCUAAGUAACGGCGAGUGAACAGAGAUUAGCCCAACAUCGAAGCCACCAUGCGUUUGUAUGGGAGGCAAUGUGAUGUUUUGGUGUUUGAACGCGCUGUCUGGCUAACUUGAAGUCCAUAUUUGACUGUGGCUUGUGUAUAUACACCCAGAGAUGGUGAUAGGCCCGUUCAGGUUGGUAUUCUGGCAUGACAGUUCAGUGUGUAUUCAUUCAUCAAAGAGUCGGAUUGCUUGAGAGUGCAGUCCAAAAUGGGUGGUAAACUCCAUCUAAGGCUAAAUACCUGUGCGAGUCCGAUAGUCAACAAGUACCGUGAGGGAAAGUUGAAAAGUACUCUGAAGAGAGAGUAAAUAGUACGUGAAACCACAUGGAGGUUAAACAAAUAGAGUCAAGCUGCAU